CAAAAUACAAAUUCAUGUUGUCGUCUUUCGAAGUUGCGUUUCAGUGUGCUGUGCGCUUCUCGUUUUUCGAGCUGUCAGGUUGGUUGCCGCUUUAUUUAAAGCACUGGAGGGGGUGGAAACUGGAGGCGCAGUAGGUUCUGUGAAUUUUGACGUUGCCCUUGCCCCGACCAGUUGAGGUUGCUUGCAGGCAUUGAUUUCAUUCGCCGCUGGGAAAUCCAUGAUCCAUUUAUAAGUCUCAGUUGUUUCUUGAUUUAGGGCUUGUAAUUCUGUAUAGGUUGAUUGGAAAGUGAAGAUUCUACGGUUUUGAGGUGCGGCUUUCCGAUGGGUAGCAGAGGUAAAUCUAGUAGGAAACGACGUCACUUUAGUUCCAACUCGCCGGCUGCAGGCAAGAACCAGUCUUCGGCUCCGUUGUCUGAGGAGAAAAAGCUAGAUGCAGCCGUACUUCAAUUCCAGAAUGAAAAACUCACUCAGAAAUUAGAAACUCAGAAGGUUGAGUUUCGGGCUCUUGAAGAAAAGCUGCAUCAGUUGGACUAUAAACAGCAGUUGCAUGAGCAAACCUUAGCUGCUGUCAAUAACUCAUGGGAAGAGGUGGCUGGUGACUUGGAAACUCAGUCAAGUCGCAUAUUGGAAUCUACGAAACAUGUGAGAGAUUUUGAAUGCCACCAACUCAAAGAUGGUGGCAAUUCACCUCAAGAAGAUGCUUUGUUAAGCCGCGUCUUAGAAACUGGUGCAACUGAAAGUAGCUCGCCCAGCACAUCAGUAAACACAAUUGAAGAAGAUAGAAAGAUAGAAUGGCCAAACAAGACACUCCAUAAUAUUGUUUCUUCUUUUGAUGAGCUGAAUGGUCUGAAGCAUAGACUGCACAAUGCAUCUUUGAAAGCGAUCUCACCUAAUUUCCCGAGUGAGAGGGAGGUUUCUUCAGAUCUGCAAACUGAGGUUAAAAAACUUCGGAUGAUGGUUCUCAAGCUUCACUUGGAACAUAGAUCCCUGGCCAAAGAAGUACAGAGCCACAGAGAUAUUGAUGCAAGGAACAAAGCUUCUUUAAAGCAUUUGGAAGGAGAAUUAGAAAGUACACUUGCUGAAUUGCAAGAAAGUAACAAUAACUUGGAAAUUCUAAAGGCUGAACAAGUUUCGGAGAAGGCACUUGUCCUUUAUCAGAAUCAGGGAACUGAACAGGUUGAACGAGAUCAUGAAAAGGGUGCGCUUGUCCUUUAUCAGAAUGAAGGAAAUAAGCAGGGUGAACGAGAUUUGGGGAAAGCACUUGUCGUUUAUCAGAAUCGAGGAAAUAAGCAGGUUGAACAAGAUCAGGAAAAGGGUGCUCUUAUCCUUUAUCGGAAUCAAGGGAAUAAGCAGUUAACUAUUCACAAAUCAAAGGAUAAAGAGAGGGAUUUGCAAGACAUGGAAUCCUCACUGAAGGAGCUAUUGCACCAAUCUGCAUGUCGACUGCACCAGCUCAACCAGCUUCAUGUGGAAAGGUUAGACAUGUUACGCCGCGUAGCAGAUCUGCAGAACCAUGCAAAGAAUGUUAAACAUAUUAAUUCUACUCAAGCAUUUCGCUCGAUGAAAGAUCAAGCGGAAAAGGCUAAAUCUGAUGCAGUCAAGUAUCAUGCUUUUACUGUUAAAUCACAGAUUGAGAGAGAGAGUAUUUACUGGUGGGACAAAGAGAGGCAUUUGCACAAGGAAUUACUUGAAGCUCUUCAUCGGAUCUCAGCACUUUCUCAUUCCAAAAUUAGUGACUUGGAAAUAGAGAUACGUAGAUACGUUAAAGAGAAAGACCUCAUUGUGGCUAAAUUGAAAAAUGCAUCUAAAGAACCUGGGAGAAAAGAUAUUCCGGGGCUCAAAGCUUUAGCUUCAUCAUUUCCUGAGAAAAUGCGCAGCAUGCAAGAUCAGUUAGCUAAACACAAGGAGACUGCUGCAGGACUUCAUUGUUUGCAAGCUGAGGUUGAAUCCCUCACUAAUAUCCUUAAUCGGAAGGCUAACGAAUGGGAUAUUCUGACUUCAGGAUCGGCUCAGCAAAAUGCUGAAGUGAAAAACCUGAAAUUAAGGAUCACUUGCCUAGAGAGCACAGCAGCAGACCUGAAGCGUUUUCAGGAAAUGUAUGCACAUGCAUCGGCAGACUCAAGGGAAGUUGAAGAAGCGCGAGACUCUGAGCUGAAGGCAUGGGCUCAUGUUCAGGGCCUUACAUCUUCUCUUGAUGAGCGUAAUUUGGAGUUGCGAGUUAAAGUUGCAAUUGAAGCAGAAGCAAAGUCCCAGCAGAGAUUAGCCACUGCGGAGGCUGAGAUUGCUGAAUUGAGACAGAAACUAGAGGCCUCUAAAAGGGAAAAAGCAAAACUUUCCAAUGUCCUAAAAUCCAAAACGGAAGAAACUGAGGCGUAUAUUGCAGAGAUAGAGACUAUUGGGCAGGCAUAUGAUGACAUGCACAAUCAUAACCAGGAGCUUCUACGGCAAAUCACUGAGAAAGAUGACUAUAAUGAAAAGCUUGUUAUAGAGGGUGCACGUGCAAGACAGUUGGAAGAUGCUCUGCUUGUGGAGAAGAAUAUGUUGGAGAAAGCUGUACAGCCGACUAGAAAAGUAGUUACUUCUGGCGACUUUAAAGUUGGUAGAGUUGGGAAUCAGUUGAAAGCCUUGAGAGAUCACCUGAAGAGAGUUGCUGAAGAUGACAUCUACAAAGCUGAUACUAUGGAACUUGUUCAAACAAGAUUGUUAGAUACAAAGAAAUCCUCUCAGCAACUUACGAGCACACUUGAUGAAACACAAUCCCAGGUAGAAAGAAGCCGGGGAUCUCUCACUGAUGUGCAAAUACAGAGAGAGAAGAAUAGGUUUAGGAACAAAAGGGUAGAAGAGGAUCUAGAUGAUCUGAGGAGUAAGGUUCAACAACUAGAAUCACAAGCUCAGAGUUCAUCCGUUAAUGAAAAGCUUCAACAAGAACUCAAGGGAUACAAAGAAAUUCUGAUAUGCAGUGUCUGCAAUGAUAGGCGCAAAGAGGUGGUUAUCACGAAAUGCUACCAUUUAUUUUGCAAUGCUUGCGUGCAAAGAAUUUUGAACACACGACAUCGCAAGUGCCCUGCUUGUUCUGCUAGCUUUGGCGCCAAUGAUGUCAAGCCCGUGUACAUCUGAUCUGGAUUCUAGAAGCUUCUUUGCAUUGAUUCAUGCACCUUCACAUCUCCAAGAGAUCAGCCUCUCAGUCAAUGCUUGUGUGGAUGAGAUGCUUCUAUAUAUUGCACAAACGUCAAUAUACACCCAUUGUCCUCAUGAGAUCCAUUGGAGUCAUAAACAUCAGAAUUAGUUAAGGUCCAAAUGCAAAUUUGCAUAUUAUUAUGGAUCUGACGAUUCUGGAUUGUUGCUGAUCAAUUAUUUUAUUUAUUCUCUAGUAUUUAUAGAUUAGAUCCCGCUCCAGGGAACCUUCAGAUUGUAAGUAUUUAAGGCGUUUUGUGAGCAUAUAUGUAGUAGGAAGAACCACAGUUUACAAAUUAAUCUGAACUAUGGGUAUAUCCUUAUAUGUAGAAAUUUAUAUUUUGUCUCAGUCCUCCAGCUUCUGUCAAAUAUGAGCUGAUUUUUAGAGACAGGAAAUGUAGGACACUUAAGCAGAAGCCUGUCAAUGCAAUUACAAGAUGGAUGGAUCUCCUUCUUGGAUUUUAACGGCGUAAAGGGGAAAAGGAAAAGGAAAAGGAAAUGUCAUGGCACGGUAUGUGUUAUUAAUCAUUCAUGUUUGUACAAUCUAAAUGGUCCCCAAGCUUCCCAUUAGGGUUCAACAAGUCUUGAGGA
This is an RNA transcript of Andrographis paniculata, 3765 nucleotides long. It is a transcript of the gene named E3 ubiquitin-protein ligase BRE1-like 1, with no coding region annotated. Lineage: Eukaryota; Viridiplantae; Streptophyta; Magnoliopsida; Lamiales; Acanthaceae. The transcript is spliced from 24 exons. The record is from RefSeq and is a predicted model, not a curated record.